AAAAGUUUGGUCCUGGCUUUUCCAUCAGUUUUAACCCAAUUUACACAUGCAAGCAUCCGCACCCCUGUGAAAAUGCCCUACCGUACCCCUGCCCCGGGCACAAGGAGCAGGUAUCAGGCACAAUUAAAAUUAGCCCACGACGCCUUGCUUAGCAGCCACACCCCCACGGGAAUUCAGCAGUGAUAAACAUUGAGCAAUAAGUGAAAGCUUGACUCAAUUAGGGUUAUAGAGGGUCGGUAAAACUCGUGCCAGCCACCGCGGUUAUACGAGAGACCCAAAUUGAUAGAGUUCGGCGUAAAGCGUGGUUAAGGUGAACUAAAAGUAAAGCCGAAUGUACUCAAAGCUGUUAUACGCAUCUGAGAAUAAGAAGCCCAACUACGAAGGUGGCUUUAUAACACCUGACGCCACGAAAGCUAGGACACAAACUGGGAUUAGAUACCCCAUUAUGCCCAGCCCUAAACAAUGAUAAUGAUUUACACACAUUAUCCGCCCGGGUACUACAAGCACUGCUUGAAACCCAAAGGACUUGACGGUGCUUUAGACCCCCCUAGAGGAGCCUGUUCUAGAACCGACAACCCCCGUUCAACCUCACCCUUUCUUGUUAUUUCCCGCCUAUAUACCGCCGUCGUCAGCUUACCUCUUGAAGGCCCAACAGUGAGCAAGAUUGGUACACCCCAAAACGUCAGGUCGAGGUGUAGCGCAUGAAAGGGGAUGAAAUGGGCUACAUUCCCUAGUACAGGGAAUACGAAUUACGUGUUGAAACACACGUCUGAAGGAGGAUUUAGCAGUAAGCUAAGAAUAGAGCGUUAAGCUGAAACUGGCCCUGAAGCGCGCACACACCGCCCGUCACUCUCCCCAAGCCUAAAAUUAUCCCCUACUUAAGCAGUUUGUAAGGCAAUAGGGGAGGCAAGUCGUAACAUGGUAAGUGUACCGGAAGGUGUACUUGGAAAAA
Molecule: non-coding RNA, 952 nt
Filed under: Dibranchus sp. YXL-2021
Lineage: Eukaryota; Metazoa; Chordata; Actinopteri; Lophiiformes; Ogcocephalidae
Description: 12S ribosomal RNA
Rfam family: Bacterial small subunit ribosomal RNA
Source: RNAcentral